Molecule: unclassified non-coding RNA, 885 nt
Filed under: Hevea brasiliensis (rubber tree)
Lineage: Eukaryota; Viridiplantae; Streptophyta; Magnoliopsida; Malpighiales; Euphorbiaceae
Source: RNAcentral
ACCUCACUUGUAUUGUAUUGGUGAUGCAAAUGGUAAAAUGAUGCUUGCUCAUGCAGCCAGCGCACAAGGAAUUUCAGUGGUUGAACAAAUCACCGGAAGAGAUCAUGUGCUAAAUCAUUUAAGCAUUCCAGCAGCUUGUUUCACUCAUCCUGAAAUCAGUAUGGUUGGAUUGACAGAGCCUCAAGCAAGGGAGAAAGGUGAAACAGAAGCAUUUGAAGUAAGUGUUGCCAAGACAAGUUUUAAGGCCAACACAAAGGCCCUUGCAGAAAAUGAAGGAGAGGGGCUUGCUAAGUUGAUAUACAGACCUGAUACUGGAGAGAUACCGGAGUUCAUAUUUUUGGGUUGCAUGCUGCUGAUCUCAUUCAUGAAGCAUCCAAUGCUAUUGCUCUGGGGACCCGUAUUCAGGAUAUAAAAUUUGCUGUUCAUGCACAUCCAACUCUGUCUGAAGUCCUUGAUGAACUUUUUAAAUCAGCAAAGGUUGAAGCUCAUGUUUCAAGCCAGGUGAGUGAACCAGUUGCAGUCUAGGCAUCUCAGUACUAAUAGUACAAAAUUUUGAAGAAAUUUGCUUGUGUUAAAAAGUGCCAAGGAACUAUAUGCUCCUAGACUGGAGAAGUCAACAAAUAUGUUCUGCUGUUAGAAGAAACAUCUUAAAAAAAAUUUUACGAUUUUCUUGGAGGUCGGUGGGAUGGGAAUAUCUUUUGGGUGUUGCAUUGGUUUCUUGAGCUUGUUGUAAAUCUGUUUAAAUACCAGUCCGUAGGUAUUUAAGUGUAAGAUGAAUUUUAUGCUAUAAUUUGGACAAUGACUCCACAUGAGUUCGUAAUAGAGCUCAGCAUUCUGAUGUUAUCAUUUGACCGAGGAAGCGAGAAAUGCUUGGCGGAUCAAAAA